This 433-nucleotide ribosomal RNA is filed under the name uncultured bacterium. RNAcentral describes it as "partial 16S ribosomal RNA". It matches the Rfam family "Bacterial small subunit ribosomal RNA", at positions 29 to 507 of the family's 1533-position model. The record is from RNAcentral.
AACGAACGCUGGCGGCAUGCCUAACACAUGCAAGUCGAACGAGACCUUCGGGUCUAGUGGAGAACGGGUGCGUAACGCGUGGGAACCUGCCCUUAGGUUCGGAAUAACUCCCCGAAAGGGGUGGUAAUACCGGAUAAUGUCUUCGGACCAAAGAUUUAUCGCCUUUGGAUGGGCCCGCGUUGGAUUAGCUAGUUGGUAGGGUAAAAGCCUACCAAGGCGACGAUCCAUAGCUGGUCUGAGAGGAUGAUCAGCCACACUGGGACUGAGACACGGCCCAGACUCCUACGGGAGGCAGCGGUGGGGAAUAUUGGACAAUGGGCGAAAGCCUGAGCCAGCAAUGCCGCGUGAGUGAUGAAGGCCUUAGGGUGGUAAAGCUCUUUUACCCGGGAUGAUAAUGACAGUACCGGGAGAAUAAGCUCCGGCUAACUCCGUG